UCAAGUAAGUAAGGGCGUACGGCGGAUGCCUUGGCCAUAUCAGCCGAAGAAGGACGCGAUAAGCUGCGAUAAGCUGCGGUGAGGUGCAAGUAACCUUUGACCCGCAGAUCUCCGAAUGGGGAAACCCGGCAGCAGUAGUGCUGUCAUCCUCUAUGAGGAAGGGCACCCGGUGAACUGAAACAUCUAAGUAGCCGGAGGAAAAGGAAUCAACAGAGAUACCCCUAGUAGCGGCGAGCGAACGGGGCAGAGCCCAAACCGGAAUGGGAAACCAAUCCGGGGUUGUGGACUGCUAUCAAAUGCAUGAGUGAAGCAGAAUGAGCUGGGAAGCUCAGCCAGAGAGAGUGAGAGCCUCGUAGGCGUAAGCAAAUGCAUGGAGCAGGAUCCAGAGUACCACGGGACACGAGAAACCCUGUGGGAAGCUGGGGGGACCACCCUCCAAGGCGAAACACUGAUAUGGACCGAUAGCGCAUAGUACCGUGAGGGAAAGGUGAAAAGAACCCCGGGAGGGGAAUGAAAGAGAACCUGAAACCGUAUGUCUACAAGCAGUCGAAGACCUUUAUAUGGUCGACGGCGUGCCUAUUGAAGAAUGAACCGGCGAGUUACUUCAGCUAGCGAGGUUAAGCAGAAAAUGCGGAGCCGCAGCGAAAGCGAGUCUGAACAGGGCGUAUAGUUAGUUGGAGUAGACCCGAAACCACAGUGAUCUACCCAUGUCCAGGUUGAAGCACAGGUAAAAAUGUGUGGAGGACCGAACCAGUGAGCGUUGAAAAGCUUUUGGAUGAGAUGUGGGUAGGGGUGAAAUGCCAAUCGAACGUGGAGAUAGCUGGUUCUCCCCGAAAUAGCUUUAGGGCUAGCCUCAUGGCGAGAGUACAGGCGGUAGAGCACUGAACGGGGUAGGGGCCUAUCCGGCUACUGAACCUAAUCAAACUGCGAAUGGCUGUACUUAUCCAUGGGAGUCAGACUGUGAGUAAUAAGGCCCAUAGUCAAGAGGGAAACAGCCCAGACCAACAGCUAAGGUCCCCAAUGCCGUACUAAGUGGCGAAGGAUGUGGAAUUUCGAAAACAACCAGGAUGUUGGCUCAGAAGCAGCCACCAUUAAAAGAGUGCGUAAUAGCUCACUGGUCGAGAGACUCUGCGCCGAAGAUGUCCGGGGCUAAAGUACGGAACCGAAGCUUUGGCAAUUGACAUUAGUCAAUUGGGUAGGGGAGCGUUCCUGCAUGGGAGAAGCCUGACCGGAAGGACAGGUGGACAGGCAGGAAGAGAGAAUGCCGGUAUGAGUAGCGAAAAGAAGGGUGAGAAUCCCUUCCACCGAAAGCCUAAGGGUUCCUGGGCAACGAUCGUCGUCCCAGGGUAAGUCGGGACCUAAUCCGAGGCGGAGACGCGUAGGAGAUGGACAACAGGUUGAAAUUCCUGUACUGGCUGAGGCCGUUUGAGCGAAGGAGUGACACAGGAAGGAAGGCGCGCGUGCGAUUGGAAGAGCACGUCCAAGCAGGUAGGUCGGGAGACAGGCAAAUCCGUUUCCCAUGAGGCCGAGAUGCGAUGGGGAGCUUCUGGAGACAGAAGCGAAGGGGCUGGCACUAAACUGUCGAGAAAAGCUUCUAGUGAGGACUCAGGCACCCGUACCGAAACCGACACAGGUAGGCAGGAUGAGAAUUCUAAGGUGCGCGGGAAAACCCUCGUUAAGGAACUCGGCAAAAUAUAUCCGUAACUUCGGGAAAAGGAUAACCCAGCGUACGUGAAGUGCAGAAGCGCACGGAGCGGAGAUGGGUGGCAGAAGAGAGGCCCAAGCGACUGUUUACCACAAACACAGGCGUCUGCUAAAGCGAAAGCUGAUGUAUAGAUGCUGACACCUGCCCGGUGCUGGAAGGUUAAGAGGAAGUGUUAGCGCAAGCGAAGCAGUGAAUUGAAGCCCCAGUAAACGGCGGCCGUAACUAUAACGGUCCUAAGGUAGCGAAAUUCCUUGUCGGGU
This 1965-nucleotide ribosomal RNA is filed under the name human gut metagenome. Its description in RNAcentral is "bacterial LSU rRNA". It matches the Rfam family "Bacterial large subunit ribosomal RNA", at positions 3 to 1977 of the family's 2925-position model. The record is from RNAcentral.